UACGAAGGGGGCUAGCGUUGUUCGGAAUUACUGGGCGUAAAGGGCGCGUAGGCGGUACGACAAGUCAGGAGUGAAAGCCCGGGGCUCAACCCCGGAACGGCUUUUGAAACUGUCGAACUAGAGUGCAGAAGAGGCAACCGGAAUUCCCAGUGUAGCGGUGAAAUGCGUAGAUAUUGGGAAGAACACCUGAGGCGAAGGCGGGUUGCUGGGCUGACACUGACGCUGAGGCGCGAAAGCCAGGGGAGCGAACGGG
This 253-nucleotide ribosomal RNA is filed under the name uncultured bacterium. Its description in RNAcentral is "partial 16S ribosomal RNA". It matches the Rfam family "Bacterial small subunit ribosomal RNA", at positions 524 to 776 of the family's 1533-position model. The record is from RNAcentral.